UACGGGGGGAGCAAGCGUUGUUCGGAUUUACUGGGCGUAAAGGGCGCGUAGGCGGCGUGACAAGUCACUUGUGAAAUCUCCGGGCUUAACUCGGAACGGUCAAGUGAUACUGUCGUGCUAGAGUACAGAAGGGGCAACUGGAAUUCUCGGUGUAGCGGUGAAAUUCGUAGAUAUCAGGAGGAACACCGAUGGCGAAGGCAGCUCGCUGGGACGGUACUGACGCUGAGGCGCGAAAGCGUGGGGAGCAAACAGG
This 253-nucleotide ribosomal RNA is filed under the name uncultured bacterium. Its description in RNAcentral is "partial 16S ribosomal RNA". It matches the Rfam family "Bacterial small subunit ribosomal RNA", at positions 524 to 776 of the family's 1533-position model. The record is from RNAcentral.